This 482-nucleotide ribosomal RNA is filed under the name uncultured bacterium. RNAcentral describes it as "partial 16S ribosomal RNA". It matches the Rfam family "Bacterial small subunit ribosomal RNA", at positions 30 to 507 of the family's 1533-position model. The record is from RNAcentral.
AUUGAACGCUGGCGGCAUGCUUUACACAUGCAAGUCGAACGGUAACAGGCCGCCAGGUGCUGACGAGUGGCGAACGGGUGAGUAAUGCAUCGGAACGUGCCCAGUCGUGGGGGAUAACUACUCGAAAGAGUAGCUAAUACCGCAUACGAUCUAUGGAUGAAAUCGGGGGACCGUAAGGCCUCGCGCGAUUGGAGCGGCCGAUGUCAGAUUAGGUAGUUGGUGGGGUAAAGGCUCACCAAGCCAACGAUCUGUAGCUGGUCUGAGAGGACGACCAGCCACACUGGGACUGAGACACGGCCCAGACUCCUACGGGAGGCAGCAGUGGGGAAUUUUGGACAAUGGGCGCAAGCCUGAUCCAGCAAUGCCGCGUGCAGGAAGAAGGCCUUCGGGUUGUAAACUGCUUUUGUACGGAACGAAACGGCUCUGGUUAAUACCCGGGGCUAAUGACGGUACCGUAAGAAUAAGCACCGGCUAACUACGUG